GAAAUGCGAUAAGUAAUGUGAAUUGCAGAAUUCAGUGAAUCAUCGAAUCUUUGAACGCACCUUGCGCUCCUUGGCAUUCCUUGGAGCAUGCCUGUUUGAGUAUCAUGAAAUCUUCAAAGUAAAUCUUUUGUUAACUCAAUUGGUUUCUACUUUGGUAUUGGAGGUCUUUGCAGCUUCACACCUGCUCCUCUUUGUUCAUUAGCUGGAUCUCAGUGUUAUGCUUGGUUCCACUCGGCGUGAUAAGUUAUCUAUCGCUGAGGACACUGUAAAAGGUGGCCAAGGUAAAUGCAGAUGAACCGCUUCUAAUAGUCCAUUGACUUGGACAAUACUUUUAUGAUCUGAUCUCAAAUCAGGUAGGACUACCCGCUGAACUUAAGC
RNAcentral lists this unclassified non-coding RNA (378 nucleotides) under plant metagenome. Its description in RNAcentral is "partial contains 5.8S ribosomal RNA, internal transcribed spacer 2, and large subunit ribosomal RNA". The stretch from base 1 to 105 matches the Rfam family "5.8S ribosomal RNA", at positions 50 to 154 of the family's 154-position model. The record is from RNAcentral.